AUUGAACGCUGGCGGCAGGCCUAACACAUGCAAGUCGAGCGGAUGAGAAGAGCUUGCUCUUCGAUUCAGCGGCGGACGGGUGAGUAAUGCCUAGGAAUCUGCCUGGUAGUGGGGGACAACGUUUCGAAAGGAACGCUAAUACCGCAUACGUCCUACGGGAGAAAGCAGGGGACCUUCGGGCCUUGCGCUAUCAGAUGAGCCUAGGUCGGAUUAGCUAGUUGGUGGGUAAAGGCUCACCAAGGCGACGAUCCGUAACUGGUCUGAGAGGAUGAUCAGUCACACUGGAACUGAGACACGGUCCAGACUCCUACGGGAGGCAGCAGUGGGGAAUAUUGGACAAUGGGCGAAAGCCUGAUCCAGCCAUGCCGCGUGUGUGAAGAAGCUCAUCGAAUUGUAAAGCACUUUAAGUUGAGAGGAAGGGCAUUAACCUAAUACGUUAGUGUUUUGACGUUACCGACAGAAUAAGCACCGGCUAACUCUGU
This 482-nucleotide ribosomal RNA is filed under the name uncultured bacterium. Its description in RNAcentral is "partial 16S ribosomal RNA". It matches the Rfam family "Bacterial small subunit ribosomal RNA", at positions 30 to 506 of the family's 1533-position model. The record is from RNAcentral.